UAACAAGUAAAAUAAUACAAAGUUGAAACACUUAACUAAAUGGCCUAAAGAUUGUUAUUGACUACGACAUACGCUCGCACGCAGCCGUAAAGUGAAAGGUCUCGAAGGUCACGGCUCCUCGGCCUGCGCCCACUGGCCCGCUGGAUGCGUUCUGAGUAAGACGCGUACCUCUAAUUAUUGCUACGUGAGCCUACCUAUCUGCUGUCGUACUAUCGUGCUACCUAAAACGUGUUGUACAUAAUAAUUAUUUACUUUGUGAAUCCCCCGUUAAUUAUCGGGGCCCAUCUACCCGGUACCGGACGUCUAUCAAGCCCCUUAUUCUGCCUGGCCUGGCCUACUGCUAUCCACAUACUACAUCAAGACAUCUACGCCUGGAGCUACGCGACGGAAUUGCAGGACAGUGAUAGUGACGGAACUGAGUUACACACAUUCGGUCGUUUAUAAUUGUGAACCCACCUAUUAAACCUAAGAACCUA
Molecule: long non-coding RNA, 476 nt
Organism: Ostrinia nubilalis (European corn borer)
Lineage: Eukaryota; Metazoa; Arthropoda; Insecta; Lepidoptera; Crambidae
Exons: 2
Source: RefSeq, a predicted model, not a curated record